UACAGAGGUGGCAAGCGUUGUUCGGAAUUACUGGGCGUAAAGGGCGCGUAGGCGGUUCGUCAAGUCCUGUGUGAAAUCCCCCGGCUCAACUGGGGAACUGCACAGGAAACUAGCGGGCUUGAAUUCGGGAGAGGGAUGCGGAAUUCCAGGUGUAGCGGUGAAAUGCGUAGAUAUCUGGAGGAACACCGGUGGCGAAGGCGGCAUCCUGGACCGGCAUUGACGCUGAGGCGCGAAAGCCAGGGGAGCAAACGGG
RNAcentral lists this ribosomal RNA (253 nucleotides) under uncultured prokaryote. Its description in RNAcentral is "partial 16S ribosomal RNA". It matches the Rfam family "Bacterial small subunit ribosomal RNA", at positions 524 to 776 of the family's 1533-position model. The record is from RNAcentral.